This 468-nucleotide ribosomal RNA is filed under the name uncultured bacterium. Its description in RNAcentral is "partial 16S ribosomal RNA". It matches the Rfam family "Bacterial small subunit ribosomal RNA", at positions 28 to 507 of the family's 1533-position model. The record is from RNAcentral.
GACGAACGCUGGCGGCGUGCUUAACACAUGCAAGUCGAACGGAAAGGCCCUGCUUUUGUGGGGUGCUCGAGUGGCGAACGGGUGAGUAACACGUGAGUAACCUGCCCUGGACUUUGGGAUAACUUCAGGAAACUGGGGCUAAUACCGGAUAGGAGCUCCUGCUGCAUGGUGGGGGUUGGAAAGUUUCGGCGGUUGGGGAUGGACGCGCGGCUUAUCAGCUUGUUGGUGGGGUAGUGGCUUACCAAGGCUUUGACGGGUAGCCGGCCUGAGAGGGUGACCGGCCACAUUGGGACUGAGAUACGGCCCAGACUCCUACGGGAGGCAGCAGUGGGGAAUAUUGCACAAUGGGCGGAAGCCUGAUGCAGCAACGCCGCGUGCGGGAUGCCGGCCUUCGGGUUGUAAACCGCUUUCGCCUGUGACGAAGCGUGAGUGACGGUAAUGGGUAAAGAAGCACCGGCUAACUACGUG